CAGUAGCCGCGGUAAUACGGAGGGUGCAAGCGUUAAUCGGAAUUACUGGGCGUAAAGCGCACGCAGGCGGUUAUAUAAGACAGAUGUGAAAUCCCCGGGCUCAACCUGGGAACUGCAUUUGUGACUGUAUAGCUAGAGUACGGCAGAGGGGGAUGGAAUUCCGCGUGUAGCAGUGAAAUGCGUAGAUAUGCGGAGGAACACCGAUGGCGAAGGCAAUCCCCUGGGCCUGUACUGACGCUCAUGCACGAAAGCGUGGGGAGCAAACAGGAUUAGAUACCCCAGUAGUCCCUGUCUCUUAUAC
This 301-nucleotide ribosomal RNA is filed under the name uncultured bacterium. Its description in RNAcentral is "partial 16S ribosomal RNA". It matches the Rfam family "Bacterial small subunit ribosomal RNA", at positions 509 to 807 of the family's 1533-position model. The record is from RNAcentral.